AGUGAACGCUGGCGGUAGGCCUAACACAUGCAAGUCGAACGGCAGCACAGGAGAGCUUGCUCUCUGGGUGGCGAGUGGCGGACGGGUGAGGAAUACAUCGGAAUCUACUCUGUCGUGAGGGAUAACGUAGGGAAACUUACGCUAAUACCGCAUACGACCUACGGGUGAAAGCAGGGGAUCUUCGGACCUUGCGCGAUUGAAUGAGCGGAUGUCGGAUUAGCUAGUUGGCGGGGUAAAGGCCCACCAAGGCGACGAUCCGUAGCUGGUCUGAGAGGAUGAUCAGCCACACUGGAACUGAGACAUGGUCCAGACUCCUACGGGAGGCAGCAGUGGGGAAUAUUGGACAAUGGGCGCAAGCCUGAUCCAGCCAUACCGCGUGGGUGAAGAAGGCCUUCGGGUUGUAAAGCCCUUUUGUUGGGAAAGAAAUCCAGCUGGCUAAUACCCGGUUGGGAUGACGGUACCCAAAGAAUAAGCACCGGCUAACUUCGUGCCAGCAGCCGCAGUAA
RNAcentral lists this ribosomal RNA (506 nucleotides) under uncultured bacterium. RNAcentral describes it as "partial 16S ribosomal RNA". It matches the Rfam family "Bacterial small subunit ribosomal RNA", at positions 29 to 523 of the family's 1533-position model. The record is from RNAcentral.